UACAGAGGAUGCAAGCGUUAUCCGGAAUGAUUGGGCGUAAAGCGUCUGUAGGUGGCUUUUUAAGUCCGCCGUCAAAUCCCAGGGCUCAACUCUGGACAGGCGGUGGAAACUACCAAGCUGGAGUACGGUAGGGGCAGAGGGAAUUCCUGGUGUAGCGGUGAAAUGCGCAGAUAUCAGGAGGAACACCGGUGGCGAAGGCGGGUCUCUGGGCCGAUACUGACGCUGAGGAGCGAAAGCGUGGGGAGCGAACAGG
Molecule: ribosomal RNA, 253 nt
Filed under: uncultured bacterium
Lineage: Bacteria
Description: partial 16S ribosomal RNA
Rfam family: Bacterial small subunit ribosomal RNA
Source: RNAcentral